Molecule: long non-coding RNA, 231 nt
Filed under: Elaeis guineensis (African oil palm)
Lineage: Eukaryota; Viridiplantae; Streptophyta; Magnoliopsida; Arecales; Arecaceae
Description: long non-coding RNA (EGUI_LNC048496)
Source: RNAcentral
CAGAUCCCUCCAACGGACAAAUUCCCUCUGGACCCCUCCAACGGUCGACCUUCCACAAUAUCCUCCAGACUCCACCAGCGGACGAACUUCCACAAUACCUUUCGAAUUUCGCUAUCGAUCGACCUUCUGCUGGAUUUCUCAUGCAAUCGAACAUCUCCAACAGACAGUCUUCAGACAAGCUUCUAUAUCAGAUAAAUUCUAAACGGACUUCUCUAGCAAUCGGACUCCAGC